UUUAGAGAUCCACAGAAAUCAUUUGGAGCCUAAGGCAGGGACCACAGAGGACAGUAUGGGGAGUGCAGUCAUUUGAUUCAUCUGGAAAGGCCUACAGUAGUCGUCCUCUGCCCAGAGUCACACAGAGCGUGAGGAAUGGAGCAGAGGCUUGAACAUGGGCUGCAGGCGCCAGAACCUUUGUUCUUACCAAGAUGUUCACAGACUCCAUGGUAAGAUAAGUGUCAUCUCUCUCUUCUUGGAGCCGGAGGAGGAAACAGGCAUUAAACAAGCAAUGACAAACAGGAUGCGUCUUGCCAGCAAGACCUAAUCCCAUCUGGAGAAAGUGACGCUUAAGCUGAGGAUUGAGGGGGUGAUCUAGAUGCAAGAGAUGUCGGCCAGGUCUCUCGCCUGCAGGUUUGGGAGCAGGUCAAGGCAGGGCAUCUGUCUGUGUCUAAGCUUGGAUUCCCGCAGCAGGACCUAGCAUCUGGCCCCAAACAAAGUCUAGACAUAAGAUGGGUUGUUUUUUGACUCAGGUGAAAUAAAGAUACUUAAUUUCUUC
Long non-coding RNA from Suricata suricatta (meerkat), 538 nucleotides. RefSeq lists it as uncharacterized. The transcript has 2 exons. Lineage: Eukaryota; Metazoa; Chordata; Mammalia; Carnivora; Herpestidae. The record is from RefSeq and is a predicted model, not a curated record.